Small nuclear RNA from Octodon degus (degu), 106 nucleotides. The record is from Ensembl. Lineage: Eukaryota; Metazoa; Chordata; Mammalia; Rodentia; Octodontidae.
GUGCUUGCUUCGGCAGCAUAUAUAUUGAAUUGGAACAAUACACGGAAGAUUAGCAUGGCCGCUGUGCAAGGAUGACACGCAAAUUCGUGAAGCGCUCCAUAUUUAA